RNAcentral lists this ribosomal RNA (649 nucleotides) under Salmonella enterica. Its description in RNAcentral is "partial 23S ribosomal RNA". It matches the Rfam family "Bacterial large subunit ribosomal RNA", at positions 670 to 1315 of the family's 2925-position model. Lineage: Bacteria; Pseudomonadati; Pseudomonadota; Gammaproteobacteria; Enterobacterales; Enterobacteriaceae. RNAcentral also lists the same sequence under 1 other name. The record is from RNAcentral.
AGGGAAACCGAGUCUUAACUGGGCGUUAAGUUGCAGGGUAUAGACCCGAAACCCGGUGAUCUAGCCAUGGGCAGGUUGAAGGUUGGGUAACACUAACUGGAGGACCGAACCGACUAAUGUUGAAAAAUUAGCGGAUGACUUGUGGCUGGGGGUGAAAGGCCAAUCAAACCGGGAGAUAGCUGGUUCUCCCCGAAAGCUAUUUAGGUAGCGCCUCGUGAACUCAUCUUCGGGGGUAGAGCACUGUUUCGGCUAGGGGGGCAUCCCGACUUACCAACCCGAUGCAAACUGCGAAUACCGAAGAAUGUUAUCACGGGAGACACACGGCGGGUGCUAACGUCCGUCGUGAAGAGGGAAACAACCCAGACCGCCAGCUAAGGUCCCAAAGUCACAGUUAAGUGGGAAACGAUGUGGGAAGGCUCAGACAGCCAGGAUGUUGGCUUAGAAGCAGCCAUCAUUUAAAGAAAGCGUAAUAGCUCACUGGUCGAGUCGGCCUGCGCGGAAGAUGUAACGGGGCUAAACUGUGCACCGAAGCUGCGGCAGCGACGCUUAUGCGUUGUUGGGUAGGGGAGCGUUCUGUAAGCCUGCGAAGGUGUCCUGUGAGGGAUGCUGGAGGUAUCAGAAGUGCGAAUGCUGACAUAAGUAACGAUAA